AUUGAACGCUGGCGGCAUGCCUUACACAUGCAAAUCGAACGGUAACGGGCCUUCGGGUGCCGACGAGUGGCGUACGGGUGAGUAAUACAUCUGAACGUUGCCGAACGUGGGGGAUAACGCGGCGAAAGCUUUUCUAAUACUGCAUACGAUCUACGGAUGAAAGCAGGGGACCGCAAGGCCUUGCGCGGGCGGAGCGGCCGAUGGCGGAUUAGGUGGUUGGUGGGAUAAAAGCUUACCAGGCCGACGAUCUGUAGCGGGGCUGAGAGGAUGAUCAGCGACACUGGGGCUAAGACACGGCCCAGCCUCCUCCUGGAGGCAGCAGUGGGGAAUUUUGUAGAAUGGGCGCAGGCCUGAUCCAGCAAUGCCGCGUGCAGGAUGAAGGCCUUCGGGUUGUAAACUGAUUUUGUACGGAACGAAAAGCCUUCUUUUAAUACAGGAGGGUCAUGACGGUACCGGAAGAAUAAGCACCGGCUAACUACGUG
RNAcentral lists this ribosomal RNA (482 nucleotides) under uncultured bacterium. RNAcentral's name for it is "partial 16S ribosomal RNA". It matches the Rfam family "Bacterial small subunit ribosomal RNA", at positions 30 to 507 of the family's 1533-position model. The record is from RNAcentral.